GAUGAACGCUGGCGGCGUGCCUAAUACAUGCAAGUCGAGCGAACAGACGAGGAGCUUGCUCCUCUGACGUUAGCGGCGGACGGGUGAGUAACACUGGAUAACCGACCUAUAAGACUGGGAUAACUUCGGGAAACCGGGGCUAAUACCGGAUAAUAUAUUUAACCGCAGGGUUCAAUAGUGAAAGACGGUUUUGCUGGCACGGAUAGAUGGAUCCGCGCCGCAUUAGCUAGUUGGUAAGGUAACGGGUUACCAAGGCAACGAUGCGUAGCCGACGUGAGAGGGUGAUCGGCCACACUGGAACUGAGACACGGUCCAGACUCCUACGGGAGGCAGCAGUAGGGAACCUUCCGCAAUGGGCGAAAGCCUGACGGAGCAACGCCGCGUGAGUGAUGACGGUCUCCGGAUCGUAAAACUCUGUUAUUAGGGAAGAACAAAUGUGUAAGUAACUAUGCACGUCUUGACGGUACCUAAUCAGAAAGCCACGGCUAACUACGUG
RNAcentral lists this ribosomal RNA (496 nucleotides) under uncultured bacterium. RNAcentral describes it as "partial 16S ribosomal RNA". It matches the Rfam family "Bacterial small subunit ribosomal RNA", at positions 28 to 507 of the family's 1533-position model. The record is from RNAcentral.